RNAcentral lists this ribosomal RNA (253 nucleotides) under uncultured bacterium. RNAcentral's name for it is "partial 16S ribosomal RNA". It matches the Rfam family "Bacterial small subunit ribosomal RNA", at positions 524 to 776 of the family's 1533-position model. The record is from RNAcentral.
UACAGAGGUCUCAAGCGUUGUUCGGAUUUAUUGGGCGUAAAGGGUGCGUAGGCGGUUUGGCAAGUCUGAUGUGAAAUCUAUGGGCUCAACCCAUAGUCUGCAUCAGAAACUGCCGGGCUUGAGUAUGGGAGAGGUGAGUGGAAUUUCCGGUGUAGCGGUGAAAUGCGUAGAUAUCGGAAGGAACACCUGUGGCGAAAGCGGCUCACUGGACCAUUACUGACGCUGAUGUACGAAAGCUAGGGGAGCAAACAGG